GUAGGUGGCAAGCGUUGUCCGGAAUUAUUGGGCGUAAAGCGCGCGCAGGCGGUCCUUUAAGUCUGAUGUGAAAGCCCACGGCUCAACCGUGGAGGGUCAUUGGAAACUGGGGGACUUGAGUACAGAAGAGGAAAGCGGAAUUCCAAGUGUAGCGGUGAAAUGCGUAGAGAUUUGGAGGAACACCAGUGGCGAAGGCGGCUUUCUGGUCUGUAACUGACGCUGAGGCGCGAAAGCGUGGGAGCAAACAGGGAUUAGAUACCCUGGUAGUCCACGCCGUAAACGAUGAGUGCUAAGUGUUAGGGGGUUUCCCGCCCCUUAGUGCUGCAGCUAACGCAUUAAGCACUCCGCCUGGGGAGUACGGCCGCAAGGCUG
This 372-nucleotide ribosomal RNA is filed under the name uncultured organism. RNAcentral describes it as "partial 16S ribosomal RNA". It matches the Rfam family "Bacterial small subunit ribosomal RNA", at positions 527 to 896 of the family's 1533-position model. The record is from RNAcentral.